RNAcentral lists this unclassified non-coding RNA (264 nucleotides) under uncultured fungus. RNAcentral's name for it is "sequence contains ITS1, 5.8S rRNA gene". The stretch from base 216 to 264 matches the Rfam family "5.8S ribosomal RNA", at positions 1 to 49 of the family's 154-position model. The record is from RNAcentral. Lineage: Eukaryota; Fungi.
UCUCCGUUGGUGAACCAGCGGAGGGAUCAUUGCUGGAAGCGUCUCACGGCGCACCCAGAUACCCUUUGUGAACCUAUACCUAUCUGUUGCCUCGGCGCAGGCUGGGGGACGUCACGUCCCUCCCGCUCUCUCUCGGGGCGGAGCAGGUCUGCCGGCGGCCCCACCAAACUCUUGUUUUUAGUGUCUCUUCUGAGUUAAACAAACAAAUGAAUCAAAACUUUCAACAACGGAUCUCUUGGUUCUGGCAUCGAUGAAGAACGCAGC